Molecule: ribosomal RNA, 497 nt
Filed under: uncultured bacterium
Lineage: Bacteria
Description: partial 16S ribosomal RNA
Rfam family: Bacterial small subunit ribosomal RNA
Source: RNAcentral
GAUGAACGCUGGCGGCGUGCCUAAUACAUGCAAGUCGAGCGAACAAACGAGGAGCUUGCCCUCCUGACGUUAGCCGCGGACGGGUGAGUCACACGUGGAUCCCCUCCCUAUAACACUGGGAUAACUUCGAGACACCGUAGCUAAUACCAGAUAAUAUAUUGAACCACAUGUUUCAAUAGGGAAAGACUUCUUUCCUGUCUCUUCUCGAUGGAUCUGCGCCGCAUUAGCUAGUUGGGAAGGUAACGGCUUACCACGGCUACGAUGCGAAGCCGAACGGAGGGGGGGAUCGGCGACACUGGAACUGAGACACGGUCCAGAGGACUACGGGAGGGAGCAGAAGGGAAUCGUAGGCAACGGUCGAAAGUCUUACGGAGCGGCGCCGAGUGAGAGAUGAAGGCCUUCGGUGCGUAAAAACCGGCUAUUAGGGAAGAACAAAUGUCUACGGAGAAAUGGACGUAGUGACGGUACCUGAAGAGAAAGCAACGGCUAACUACGUG